AGUUUUGCAGGUUUGCAUCCAGUUGUUCUUCUGGCUCACUGUGCAAAUCCAUGCAAAACUGA
This 62-nucleotide microRNA precursor is filed under the name Xenopus tropicalis (tropical clawed frog). RNAcentral's name for it is "Xtr-Mir-19-P2a_pre stem-loop". It matches the Rfam family "mir-19 microRNA precursor family", at positions 11 to 71 of the family's 79-position model. Rfam says of the family: The hairpin precursors (represented here) are predicted based on base pairing and cross-species conservation -- their extents are not known. Lineage: Eukaryota; Metazoa; Chordata; Amphibia; Anura; Pipidae. The record is from RNAcentral.